RNAcentral lists this ribosomal RNA (459 nucleotides) under Capnocytophaga granulosa. RNAcentral's name for it is "bacterial SSU rRNA". It matches the Rfam family "Bacterial small subunit ribosomal RNA", at positions 28 to 491 of the family's 1533-position model. The record is from RNAcentral. Lineage: Bacteria; Pseudomonadati; Bacteroidota; Flavobacteriia; Flavobacteriales; Flavobacteriaceae.
GAUGAACGCUAGCGGCAGGCCUAACACAUGCAAGUCGAGGGAGAAGCCCUUCGGGGCAGAAACCGGCGCACGGGUGCGUAACGCGUAUGCAACCUACCUUUCACAGGGGGAUAGCCCGAAGAAAUUUGGAUUAAUACCCCAUAAUAUUAUUGGAUGGCAUCAUUUGAUAAUUAAAAUUACGAUGGUGAAAGAUGGGCAUGCGUCCUAUUAGCUAGUUGGAGUGGUAACGGCACCCCAAGGCUACGAUAGGUAGGGGUCCUGAGAGGGAGAUCCCCCACACUGGUACUGAGACAGGGACCAGACUCCUACGGGAGGCAGCAGUGAGGAAUAUUGGUCAAUGGUCGGAAGACUGAACCAGCCAUGCCGCGUGCAGGAAGAAUGCCUUAUGGGUUGUAAACUGCUUUUAUAUGGGAAGAAUAAGGAGUACGUGUACUUUGAUGACGGUACCAUAUGAUAAGC